Molecule: ribosomal RNA, 255 nt
Filed under: uncultured bacterium
Lineage: Bacteria
Description: partial 16S ribosomal RNA
Rfam family: Bacterial small subunit ribosomal RNA
Source: RNAcentral
UACGGAGGAUCCAAGCGUUAUCCGGAAUUACUGGGCGUAAAGAGUUGUGUAGGUGGUUACGUAAGCAAUGUGUGAAAUGACGGGGCUCAACCCUGUGUCCAUGCAUUGAACUGCGUUGACUAGAGAGUGGUAGAGGUCGCUAGAAUUCCUGGUGUAGGGGUGAAAUCCGUAGAUAUCAGGAGGAAUACCGAUGGCGUAGGCAGGCGACUGGACCAUUUCUGACACUCAGACACGAAAGCGUGGGGAGCGAUCGGG